Molecule: long non-coding RNA, 678 nt
Filed under: Homo sapiens (human)
Lineage: Eukaryota; Metazoa; Chordata; Mammalia; Primates; Hominidae
Description: non-protein coding lnc-EBF3-1:3
Source: RNAcentral
CCCUGGAGGGUCACCCAAGGAAAGAGUUCGUUCCAAAGACAGGUGCUCCUCUGAGUUCCUCUGGAAUCUGGCAAGGUGCCGAGCUUGGACGCAAGGCUUCCAUGAGGCUGUGAAGGAGGUUGCACGGAAACUGGUGGGGAUCUGAAAAGCUUUUAGUGGCCUCGCCACACACAGCACUUCAGAUGCUCAGGUGAUGAGCAACAUUUUCCAAACCCAGCUAGUGAGCACCCCACCUCCUCUGGCUUCCAGAACCUGGUGUGGAGGGCCAGGAGAGGCUUCGGGACUGAAGGGCAGAGCAGCAGACUCCGGGGCUCAUGUAGGAAGGAACAUGCCUUCAGCCAAAGAUUAUCCACGCUGCAUGGAGACUCUUGCUAAAUAUCACUGGGGUAAGACUGAAGAAAAGAAAUAAACUAUGCUACCUGCUCUUAAUAAAGAUCAUUUUAUUUUAAACAGGAGGCUGAAUAAAACCUUUUGACUCUGUAUUUCAGACAAAUGCAGUGGCUUAAUUUCAUUCAAUCAUUUACUGAGGAUCUGAAAUGCAUGCGGUUAGUGGUGAGAAUACUGACUCAGGGCUGUCCCUUCCUCUGGAGUUGACAGCCGACUGCGCAGGAAGGGAAGGUGAGGGUCAAACACACAGGUCAACAUCAGAAACAGCACUUCCGCCUUCCAUUGGCCCCG